Molecule: long non-coding RNA, 624 nt
Organism: Bacillus rossius redtenbacheri
Lineage: Eukaryota; Metazoa; Arthropoda; Insecta; Phasmatodea; Bacillidae
Exons: 3
Source: RefSeq, a predicted model, not a curated record
UAUCCCAUCUGCGCCACAACGAGCCGGCGGCGACUCAAUCAAGCCAGACGUCUGUCCCUGCGCGCGGCUGCGACACGCAGACAUGCACGGCGCUCUGCUGUUCGUGCCGGUGGCGCUGGUGUCUGUGCUGCGGGCGCAGGUGGCGAACCAAGGCUGGGCGAUAGUCGAACAGCCAAGAUGCUGUUCGGACUGUACUUAUGUUUCAGCUGGUUUCAAGUGUAAACUGAAAAGCUGUGUAACUAAAUGUCCUUGGGCUCGAAGGCACUUCACUGCAGCUUUCGCAGCCCCUACUACUACAGCAUCUGAGCCCACAGUUCCGCUAUAUUGAAGAAGCCAUCGAAUUACAAAGCCAGAAGCAACAAAUUCAUGCCAGAAAAGAACUGUGUACACUCUUGAAUAAUUUGAAUAUAAUCGAGGAGAAGCAAGAAGACAGUUGAGAUACAUGCAAACACCAAAUUAGUCUCUGACUCAUGCACACACUUAAGGAAAAAAAAUGCAUGAAAAUAAUGGAAUAUUUUCAUGUUGAUCUCAAACACAUUUCCUCUGAAAAUAGAUGCGCAUGAAGUUACACGUGUCAAUUAAUGUUUACUGUACUGAAAUCCUUAUUAAACAAUUUUGACUAAA